This is a long non-coding RNA of Oncorhynchus tshawytscha (Chinook salmon), 489 nucleotides long. The record is from Ensembl. Lineage: Eukaryota; Metazoa; Chordata; Actinopteri; Salmoniformes; Salmonidae.
GAUAGAGGGGCGGGGGAGUCAGAGAGAAAGAUAGACAGAUAGAGGGGCGGGGGAGUCAGAGAGAAAGAUAGACAGAUAGAGAGGCGGGGGAGUCAGAGAGAAAGAUGGACAGAUAGAGGGGCGGGGGAGUCAGAGAGAAAGGUGGACAGAUAGAGGGGGGGGGGAGUCAGAGAGAAAGAUGGACAGAUAGAGAGGCGGGGGAGUCAGAGAGAAAGAUGGACAGAUAGAGGGGCGGGGGAGUCAGAGAGAAAGAUAGACAGAUAGAGAGGUGGGGGAGUCAGAGAGAAAGGUGGACAGAUAGAGGGGCGGGGGAGUCAGAGAGAAAGGUGGACAGAUAGAGGGGCGGGGGAGUCAGAGAGAAAGAUGGACAGAGAGAGGGGCGGGGACUGAUAGGCUCUCUGUGUUCUUAUACCCUCUCUAUCAGAACAGAGAGAGAGAAAAAGAAAGAGAACGAAAGUCAGAAAGAGAGAGGAAUAAGGCAGAGGACAG